GACGAACGCUGGCGGCGUGCUUAACAUAUGCAAGUCGAACGGAAAGGCGCUGCUUUUGUGGGGUGCUCGAGUGGCGAACGGGUGAGUAACACGUGAGUAACCUGCCCUUGACUUUGGGAUAACUUCAGGAAACUGGGGCUAAUACGGGAUAGGAUCUUCUGCUGAAUGGUGGGGGUUGGAAAGUUUCGGCGGUAGGGGAUGGACUCGCGGCUUAUCAGCUUGUUGGUGGGGUAGUGGCUUACCAAGGCUUUGACGGGUAGCCGGCCUGAGAGGGUGACCGGCCACAUUGGGACUGAGAUACGGCCCAGACUCCUACGGGAGGCAGCAGUGGGGAAUAUUGCACAAUGGGCGGAAGCCUGAUGCAGCAACGCCGCGUGCGGGAUGACGGCCUUCGGGUUGUAAACCGCUUUCGCCUGUGACGAAGCGUGAGUGACGGUAAUGGGUAAAGAAGCACCGGCUAACUACGUG
RNAcentral lists this ribosomal RNA (468 nucleotides) under uncultured bacterium. RNAcentral's name for it is "partial 16S ribosomal RNA". It matches the Rfam family "Bacterial small subunit ribosomal RNA", at positions 28 to 507 of the family's 1533-position model. The record is from RNAcentral.